CCUACGGGAGGCAGCAGUGGGGAAUAUUGCACAAUGGGGGAAACCCUGAUGCAGCGACGCCGCGUGAGUGAAGAAGUAUUUCGGUAUGUAAAGCUCUAUCAGCAGGGAAGAAAAUGACGGUACCUGAUUCAGAAGCCCCGGCUAACUACGUGCCAGCAGCCGCGGUAAUACGUAGGGAGCAAGCGUUAUCCGGAUUUACUGGGUGUAAAGGGAGCGUAGACGGCAGCACAAGUCUGGAGUGAAAUGCCGGGGCUCAACCCCGGAACUGCUUUGGAAACUGUGCAGCUAGAGUGCAGGAGAGGUAAGUGGAAUGCCUAGUGUAGCGGUGAAAUGCGUAGAUAUUAGGAGGAACACCAGUGGCGAAGGCGGCUUACUGGACUGUAACUGACGUUGAGGCACGAAAGCGUGGGGAGCAAACAGGAUUAGAUACCCCUGUAGUC
Molecule: ribosomal RNA, 440 nt
Filed under: uncultured bacterium
Lineage: Bacteria
Description: partial 16S ribosomal RNA
Rfam family: Bacterial small subunit ribosomal RNA
Source: RNAcentral